Molecule: ribosomal RNA, 715 nt
Filed under: Phytophthora infestans T30-4
Lineage: Eukaryota; Oomycota; Peronosporomycetes; Peronosporales; Peronosporaceae
Description: 18S ribosomal RNA
Rfam family: Eukaryotic small subunit ribosomal RNA
Source: RNAcentral
AGUAUGGUCGCCAAAGGCUGAAACUUUAAGGGAAUUGCCGGAAGGGGCCCCACCAGGGAGUGGAGCCUGCGGGCUUAAUUUGGACUCCAACACCGAGAAAACUUACCAGGUCCCAGACAUAGUAAGGGAUAGACAGAUUGAGAGGCUCUUUCUUGAUUCUAUGGGGUGAUAGGUGCAUGGCCGUUCUUAGUUGGUGGAGUGAUUUUGUCUGGUUAAAUUCCGUUAACGAACGAGAACAUCCGCGUGCUAAAUAGUACCGCUUACCAUUUUUGGUAGGUUUAGUGGACUUUUUAGAGGGACUUUUGGGUAAUCAAACCAAAAGAAGUUGGAGGCAAUAACAGGUCUGUGAUGCCCUUAGAUGUUCUGGACCGCACGCGCGCUACACUGAUGCGUUCAACGAGUAUACAACCUUGAUCGAUAGGUCUGGGUAAUCUUGUGAAUGCGCAUCGUGCUAGGGAUAGACUGUUGCAAUUUUUAGUCUUGAACGAGGAAUUCCUAGUAAACGCAAGUCAUCAGCUUGCAUUGAUUACGUCCCUGCCCUUUGUACACACCGCCCGUCGCACCUACCGAUUGAAUGACUCGGUGAAAAAUUGGGACCGUGAGUCUGUUUGCUUUAUUGCGAGUGGAUUGAUGGGAACUUUUUUAAACCUCGCCAUUUAGAGGAAGGUGAAGUCGUAACAAGGUUUCCGUAGGUGAACCUGCGGAAGGAUCAUUA